This 482-nucleotide ribosomal RNA is filed under the name uncultured bacterium. RNAcentral's name for it is "partial 16S ribosomal RNA". It matches the Rfam family "Bacterial small subunit ribosomal RNA", at positions 29 to 507 of the family's 1533-position model. The record is from RNAcentral.
AUUGAACGCUGGCGGCAUGCUUUACACAUGCAAGUCGAACGGUAACAGGCCGCAAGUUGCUGUCGCGUGGCGGACGGGUGAGUAAUGCAUCGGAACGUGGCCAGCCGUGGGGGGUAGCUACUCGACAGCGUAGCAAAUACCCCAUACGCGCUUAGCGUGACAACGGGGGAGCGGGAGGCCUUCCGCGCUCUGGCCGGCGGAUGUGCGAUUAUGUAGUUGGUGGGGUAAAGGCUCACCAAGGCAACGAUCCGUAGCUGGUCUGAGAGGACGACCAGCCACACUGGGACUGAGACACGGCCCAGACUCCUACGGGAGGCAGCAGUGGGGAAUUUUGGACAAUGGGCGCAAGCCUGAUCCAGCAAUGCCGCGUGCAGGAAGAAGGCCUUCGGGUUGUAAACUGCUUUUGUACGGGACGAAACGGCUAUGGUUAAUACCCGGGGCUAAUGACGGUACCGUAAGAAGAAGCACCGGCUAACUACGUG